RNAcentral lists this ribosomal RNA (253 nucleotides) under uncultured bacterium. RNAcentral's name for it is "partial 16S ribosomal RNA". It matches the Rfam family "Bacterial small subunit ribosomal RNA", at positions 524 to 777 of the family's 1533-position model. The record is from RNAcentral.
UACGUAGGGUGCAGGCGUUAAUCGGAAUUACUGGGCGUAAAGCGUGCGCAGGCGGUUUCUUAAGUCAGAUGUGAAAGCCCCGGGCUCAACCUGGGAACUGCGUUUGUGACUGUAUGACUAGAGUACGGUAGAGAGGGGUGGAAUUCCUGGUGUAGCAGUGAAAUGCGUAGAUAUCAAGUGGAACACCGUGGCGAAGGCGAGUCUCUGGACAUUUCCUGACGCUGAGGCACGAAAGCCAGGGGAGCAAACGGGG